Magallana angulata is the source of this 403-nucleotide long non-coding RNA. RefSeq lists it as uncharacterized. The transcript is spliced from 3 exons. Lineage: Eukaryota; Metazoa; Mollusca; Bivalvia; Ostreida; Ostreidae. The record is from RefSeq and is a predicted model, not a curated record.
UAGUGACAAUCACACGUGUUGUUCGAAUUUCAACAAAACUGUAUAAAUACCCAGAUAUUUGGUUAUCAGUACAUUGUUCAAGAAUAAGCGUUCACGUCAUUGACUUAAGACAACCAUGAACACCAAACUGUUCGCAACACUUCUGAUGGUGGGUCUUAUGGUAUCUACUGUGAAAGCAGUCACCUGUAAAGUCGGAUGUCAAAACUCGCGCAGAAUCUGCCAGGCCGGAUGUAAGGCCAGACCCCUUAAUUUUGUAGAGAGACGGGAAUGCAGCAAUAGAUGCGAGACAACUUUCGUCAUCUGCAAGAAAGGUUGCGACAGAAACAAGCCAACUCCUUUUAAUAAUUAGACUACGAAUUGCUAAGGACAGAAGGAAUUUUUUUAAUAAAAUUUCUGUCAUAUA